UGCCAGCCGCCGCGGUAAUACGGAGGGUGCAAGCGUUAAUCGGAUUCAUUGGGCGUAAAGAGCGUGUAGGCGGUUUCUUAAGUCGGCUUUUAAAGACCACGGCUCAACCGUGGGAGUGGGGCCGAUACUGGGAAACUUGAGCGCAUCAGAGGCAAGCGGAAUUCCGGGUGUAGCGGUGAAAUGCGUAGAUAUCCGGAGGAACACCAGUGGCGAAGGCGGCUUGCUGGGGUGCUACUGACGCUGAGACGCGAAAGCCAGGGGAGCGAACGGGAUUAGAUA
This 279-nucleotide ribosomal RNA is filed under the name uncultured bacterium. RNAcentral describes it as "partial 16S ribosomal RNA". It matches the Rfam family "Bacterial small subunit ribosomal RNA", at positions 506 to 784 of the family's 1533-position model. The record is from RNAcentral.